GAUGAACGCUGGCGGCGUGCCUAAUACAUGCAAGUCGAGCGAACAGACGAGGAGCUUGCUCCUCUGACGUUAGCGGCGGACGGGUGAGUAACACGUGGAUAACCUACCUAUAAGACUGGGAUAACUUCGGGAAACCGGAGCUAAUACCGGAUAAUAUAUUGAACCGCAUGGUUCAAUAGUGAAAGACGGUUUUGCUGUCACUUAUAGAUGGAUCCGCGCCGCAUUAGCUAGUUGGUAAGGUAACGGCUUACCAAGGCAACGAUGCGUAGCCGACCUGAGAGGGGGAUAGGCCACACUGGAACGGAGACACGGUCCAGACUCCUACGGGAGGCAGCAGUAGGGAAUCUUCCGCAAUGGGCGAAAGCUUGACGGAGCAACGCCGCGUGAGUGAUGAAGGUCUUCGGAUCGUAAAACUCUGUUAUUAGGGAAGAACAAAUGUGUAAGUAACUAUGCACGUCUUGACGGUACCUAAUAAGAAAGCCACGGCUAACUACGUG
RNAcentral lists this ribosomal RNA (497 nucleotides) under uncultured bacterium. RNAcentral describes it as "partial 16S ribosomal RNA". It matches the Rfam family "Bacterial small subunit ribosomal RNA", at positions 28 to 507 of the family's 1533-position model. The record is from RNAcentral.